GGCGACGUAGCCAAGUGGUAAGGCCGAAGUCUGCAACACUUCUAUCAGCGGUUCGAUUCCGCUCGUCGCCUCCA
RNAcentral lists this transfer RNA (74 nucleotides) under Fusobacteriota bacterium. RNAcentral's name for it is "Fusobacteria bacterium (marine metagenome) tRNA-Cys". It matches the Rfam family "tRNA". From Rfam's summary of the family: Transfer RNA (tRNA) molecules are approximately 80 nucleotides in length. Their secondary structure includes four short double-helical elements and three loops (D, anti-codon, and T loops). Lineage: Bacteria; Fusobacteriati; Fusobacteriota. The record is from RNAcentral.